UCAUAGUUUUUACCAUGUAAUUGUUUUACCCAUUCAACAAUAUGGUAAAAUAUGGUGAUAAUAUAAUAGCAUAAACCAGAGCUUUCUCAGCAAAUGUAGUGGAAUUGUCAAGAGGGGUUGUGAGGAUGAAUGAGUUAAUACAGGUCAAGUAUUUAGAAUAGGGUCUGGCACUACAUAUAUGCAUUUAAGGGCUUCCCAGGUGGCGCUAGAGGUAAAGGACCUGCCUACCAAUGCAGGAGACAUAAGACAUGUGGGUUCAAUCCCUGGGUUGGGAAGAUCCCCUGGCGGAGGGCAUGGCGGCCCACUCCAGUAAUCUUGCUGGAGAAUCCCAUGGACAGAGGAGCCUGGUAGGCUACAGUCCAUACAGUCGCAAAAAGUCAGACAUGACUGAAGUGACUUAACACACACACACACGUGCACUUAGAGGGGCGUUUGCGGUGAGGAUGGUUAAAGGAGGAUGAAAAUGGGCUGAGGGCUAGGGACCAGGAACUCUCUGAGUCCUGGAGGAAGCAAAUCCUUAAUGAACUCUAACCAGUGGCAGCUUCACAAUUGAUCAGUCUGAUGUGUUUCAGGUGGUGGCACAGACCUGCCAGAGCCAGCUGCUACUACUGCUGCUGCUAAGUCGCUUCAGUCGUGUCCAACUCUGUGCGACCCCAUAGACGGCAGCCCAGCAGGCUCCCCCAUCCCUGGGAUUCUCUAGGCAAGAACACUGGAGGGGGUUGCCAUUUCCUUCUCCAGCCAGAGCCAGCUGGGGAACCCCAAACCAUUCUGCCCUGGUGCCUGGAGAAGCAGCGUCUGAUGGAGGGUCAAGCACCACCAGAGGCAGCGCACGGAGCAGAACAGUAACGGGUUCUUGUAUCAACAUUCGUCAGACACCUACCCUGUGCUGAGAGCUGCACAAAGCUGGCUACCGAAUCGAGUACACACAGGCUCAGAAAAAGGUCUUCAACAGCGUGAGACCCACAUUGGCAGUUUAGCACGCGGCUCUGGAAUCACACUGCCUUGGUUCAAAUCCUGGCUCCACCACUUCCAAGCCAAACUAGGAGGAUUCCUGGCAGGCAUCAACCUCCUCCUGGGUAAGAUGGUGAUGAUAGAGGCAUCUGUUUUGCAAGGUUCUGUCAAUUCAGCUGAGGCUUCGCCAAGGCUAUGCUAUAUAAAGUACUUAGCACAGGAUCUGGCAAACAGGCUGCUGCUGCUGCUAAGUCGCUUCAGUCAUGUCCGACUCUGUGCAGCCUCAUAGAAGGCAGCCCACCAGGCUCUCCUGUCCCUGGGAUUCUCCAGGCAAGAACACUGGAGUGGGUUGCUAUUUCCUUCUCCCCUGGCAAACAGGAGGUGCUCUGUAAUGAGACCUAUUACCAUAAUUAAGACACAGAAUCUCACUUAGACUUACAAGGCGGUACCUUUGCAGCCCAAACACCAACAAAUCAUUCUCCCCACUUGUGGACAUGAUUGAUAGCUCAGUCUGGAGUGCUGGCAUCUAAGCUCCUACAUGCCUCUUAUCUUCUGGAGUCAGCCUCUGCCUCUGUGUGUCUUUAUAUCCCCAGCCUGCACCCUCUCCCUUCAUGACCUGGGCCCAGUGCUUGGCACAGUGGGGUCUCCCUAAUACCUAUCCCCUCGAGCUGAGUGUGUCAUCCAUCAACUAGGGGAGGGUGUUUCGGAGGACUGGCACAGUGGCAAGUCCUGGGUCCUGGACCAAGAGAAUGAAGCCAGGAGGACCCUGUAGACAGACACCUUGCUGAGACUUCAACAAGGCCCUUUUUUGAUUAAAAGUGGUACUUUCAGGGAACUCUCCAAGCAUAUCAUAAUUGAUGGGGUACUAAUAGCACACACCAAGAUUUAAUACAGCCAGACCGGGUAGAUCAUUGAGCCCCUUCUGACUCAAUUUUCAUCUCAAGAAAUAGGAAUAAAAAAUACUUGUUCCUUUAGGGUUUCGUAAGG
RNAcentral lists this long non-coding RNA (1938 nucleotides) under Bos indicus x Bos taurus (hybrid cattle). RNAcentral's name for it is "lncRNA (ENSBIXG00005030458.1)". Lineage: Eukaryota; Metazoa; Chordata; Mammalia; Artiodactyla; Bovidae. The record is from RNAcentral.